GUACCGGGCGUGAGAGCGUGACCCGGCUCACUGGGACUGAGACACUGCCCAGACACCUACGGGUGGCUGCAGUCGAGAAUCUUCGGCAAUGGACGCAAGUCUGACCGAGCGACGCCGCGUGCGGGAUGAAGGCCUUCGGGUUGUAAACCGCUGUCAGUUGGGAGGAAAUCAUAUGGGGUUCUCUCCAUAUGUUGACCUAUCUUCAGAGGAAGGACGGGCUAAGUUCGUGCCAGCAGCCGCGGUAAGACGAACCGUCCAAACGUUAUUCGGAAUUACUGGGCUUAAAGGGUGCGUAUGCGGUGCUGUAAGUUGGGUGUGAAAUCCCUCGGCUCAACCGAGGAAUUGCGCCCAAUACUGCAGUACUAGAGGGAGACAGAGGUGAGCGGAACUUGUGGUGGAGCGGUGAAAUGCGUUGAUAUCACAAGGAACACCUGUGGCGAAAGCGGCUCACUGGGUCUUUUCUGACGCUGAGGCACGAAAGCUGGGGGAGCGAACGGGAUUAGAUACCCCGGUAGUCCCAGCUGUAAACGUUGAGCACUAGACCGGAGGAACCCCCAUAGUUUUCCGGUCGUAGCGAAAGUGUUAGUGCUCCGCCUGGGGAGUAUGGUC
This 609-nucleotide ribosomal RNA is filed under the name uncultured organism. Its description in RNAcentral is "bacterial SSU rRNA". It matches the Rfam family "Bacterial small subunit ribosomal RNA", at positions 283 to 887 of the family's 1533-position model. The record is from RNAcentral.